UUUUUAAAAUUUUAUUCAUUUGUGUUCUUAAAGAUUAUAAUAGUUGAUAGAAUAAUCCCACAUUAACAUGUGGUAUUUCACGUACACUUUAUAUUAACAUAUAAAGAUUAGUUUUUAACAGCAAAAAUAGAUAGAAUUUUAACAA
RNAcentral lists this microRNA precursor (145 nucleotides) under Gossypium barbadense (sea-island cotton). RNAcentral's name for it is "MIR7502 microRNA precursor family". It matches the Rfam family "MIR7502 microRNA precursor family". The record is from Rfam by way of RNAcentral. RNAcentral also lists the same sequence under 1 other name. Lineage: Eukaryota; Viridiplantae; Streptophyta; Magnoliopsida; Malvales; Malvaceae.